This 404-nucleotide ribosomal RNA is filed under the name uncultured bacterium. RNAcentral describes it as "bacterial SSU rRNA". It matches the Rfam family "Bacterial small subunit ribosomal RNA", at positions 355 to 776 of the family's 1533-position model. The record is from RNAcentral.
UGGGGAAUAUUGCACAAUGGGGGAAACCCUGAUGCAGCGACGCCGCGUGAGCGAAGAAGUAUUUCGGUAUGUAAAGCUCUAUCAGCAGGGAAGAAAAUGACGGUACCUGACUAAGAAGCCCCGGCUAAAUACGUGCCAGCAGCCGCGGUAAUACGUAUGGGGCAAGCGUUAUCCGGAUUUACUGGGUGUAAAGGGAGCGCAGGCGGCUUGGCAAGUCUGAUGUGAAAGGCUGGGGCUCAACCCCAGGACUGCAUUGGAAACUGUUAGGCUAGAGUGUCGGAGAGGUAAGCGGAAUUCCUAGUGUAGCGGUGAAAUGCGUAGAUAUUAGGAGGAACACCAGUGGCGAAGGCGGCUUACUGGACGACAACUGACGCUGAGGCUCGAAAGCGUGGGGAGCAAACAGG